Molecule: ribosomal RNA, 253 nt
Filed under: uncultured bacterium
Lineage: Bacteria
Description: partial 16S ribosomal RNA
Rfam family: Bacterial small subunit ribosomal RNA
Source: RNAcentral
GACGGACCGUACGAACGUUAUUCGGAAUUACUGGGCUUAAAGGGUGCGUAGGCGGCUCAGAAAGUUGAAUGUGAAAGCCCUCGGCUUAACCGAGGAAUUGCAUCCAAAACUACUGGGCUUGAGUGAGACAGAGGUGAGCGGAACUCACGGUGGAGCGGUGAAAUGCGUUGAUAUCGUGAGGAACACCGGUGGCGAAAGCGGCUCACUGGGUCUUUGCUGACGCUGAUGCGCGAAAGCGUGGGGAGCAAACAGG